Aegilops tauschii subsp. strangulata is the source of this 2525-nucleotide long non-coding RNA. RefSeq lists it as uncharacterized. The record is from RefSeq and is a predicted model, not a curated record. Lineage: Eukaryota; Viridiplantae; Streptophyta; Magnoliopsida; Poales; Poaceae.
UAUUUGUAUUCCUAAUCAAUCAAUCAAUUCGCAUUAAUAAUAUUUUGUAAAUGUUUGGCUUGUAAAAUCUGAAUCAUUCUAUUUCAUUUUCCACAGGAAGAUGAUGGUGAUGAAGAUGAAUGGGUAGAGGUUAAUGAAGGGUAUGAGGAGGUUGAUGAGGCAGAGGCAUAUGAUAUGGAUGAUGAUAUGUCUGAGCCUUCUCUUGGAUCAGGAGACAAUCGAAAUGACACAGAAGUUGAGGUCAAUGGCAAAGAGAGAGCAAAGAAAGGAGGAAAAAGGAAAAAGGCAGCAGUGGAUACUACUAAGGUGAAGGUGAAGAAAACGAGACUUAAACGUGCAGAAUGUUGGCAGCAUUUCAAGGAGGUCAAGGCUGUAAGCAAGAGGAUGCCAGGGGCGGUUGUUACGAAGGCAAAAUGUUGCAUUGUGCUAAAUUGUUUUAUUAUACUCCUGGGGGAUCAACUACUAGUCUCAAUAGGCAUAAAGAUGUUUGUUCAGUCUAUCUAAACAAGAAGGGAAGGCAACUACAGCAAGGUACAAUCAACUUUGAUCCUGAAAAGCCAGGUGCAUCUCUCAUAGUAAACCAUGAAUACAAUCAUGCGAAAGUCGUUAAGAUCAUAGCAAAGAUGAUAAUUGUGCAUGAUUAUCCCUUUAGAAUGGUAGAGCAUGCUUGGUUCAAUAUCCUCAUGAGGUAUACGAAUGCGUCCUACAAGUUCAUUGGUCGGAAGAAGAUUAGAGCUGAAUGCAUGAAGCUUUAUCUUUCCGAGAAAGAAAUCCUUAAAAAGCAACUUAAGUCUGUUGAAAGCAUUAGUUUGACAUGUGAUCUAUGGACUUCAAACCAAACUCUCUCAUACCUAGCUGUGGUCGCUCACUACAUAGAUGAUGAUUGGGUCAUGCAAUGUCGUGUUUUAGACUUCAUAGAGCUAGAUCCACCUCACUCGGGUAGUGUCAUAGCUCAAGCAGUUUUUGAGUGUUGCCAAGAAUGGAAAAUAGAAGAUAAGAUCAUGACAAUCACUAUGGAUAAUGCUUCCUCAAAUGAUAAUGCUGCCAAGAGAUUGAUGGACAAGAUCAUUGCUAGGUAAUCGGCUAAAUUUAUUCCUAACUACUUCCAUGUUCGCUGCUAUGCGCACAUUGUCAAUUUGAUAGUGAAUGAUGGCAUUGCUCUAUUGCAAACUUUGAUCAAUAAGCUUAGGGAUACUGUCAAGUAUUUGAAAAAAUCCCCAACAUGCAUGUACAAAUUAUUGAUGGUUUGCAAGUCUCUGAAUAUGGAAAUUGGGAGAGGUUUAUGCCUGGAUGUUGCUACUAGAUGGAAUUCUACAUGCAGAAUGGUAGAGGCUUGCACUGUGUAUAGAGCUGCUUUCAAGGAGUAUGCAGAGGUAGAUGCUACCUACAAAUGGCAGCCUGAAGAUGAAGCAUGGGCAUUAUAUGAGAAGAUUCAACCCAUCUUGAAAUCAUUUGCCGAGGUAACAACUGUAUUAUCAGGAUCUACCUAUCCUACUGCCAACAUUUUUUAUCCAUAUAUCAUGAAUGUUAAGAUUGCUAUCAUAGAGCAUGCCAUGGUUUCAAAUGCAAACUUGAAAAAGAUGGGAGAAGCAAUGCUUGAUAAGUUUGAUAAAUAUUGGGAUAGCAAUAGUGAAGGUGAGGGAAAUGAAAACAGUUGGAAAAACAAAAAAAGGAAAAGAACAAUGUCAUGGUCAUUGCCACCAUUCUUGAUCCUAGGUUUAAGAUGAAACUUGUUGAUUACUGUUUUAAGAAAAUGUAUGGUAAAGAGAAGGGCAGUAGUGAGGCCGAGGAAAUCAAAUCUGAAUUCUUUGAUCUCUAUGCUACUUAUGAGAUGGAAAAUCGCAAGAAUGAGGCUGGCAACAAUAAUGAACAGAGUUCAAUAUCUAGUAGGCAAACAAGUACAUCUAUGUCCUGAUUGUCAAGUGGGUUUCAGUCCUUCCUAGAGGAGACAAAUUCAGAGCCAUCUAAAUCUGAAUUGACCAGUUACCUUGAAGACAAAACCCAUCCAAUUCUGGAUCCAAAGUUCAGCGUAGUUGAUUGGUGGAGAUUGAAUGCUCAUAGAUAUCCUAUCAUGGCAAAGAUGGCAAAGAAGUUCUUGACUAUACCAGCAACUAGUGUCUCAUCAGAGUCAACAUUCUCUAUGAGCGGCAGAAUUCUUGAUGACUAUUGUAGCUCUCUCAGCCCAAACAUGGUUGAGGCACUUGUGUGUGCUUCUAGCUACAUUAAAGGAUCAAAAGAAAACCAACUUAAGCCUACAAUUGUAGUGGAAGAUGGCAAUGAUGACGAUGUCGAGUUCAUUCCAUUUCCUGAAGAUACGACGGAAAGUAACUAGAAGAUGAAUUGAUGAACUGAUGAGCAACUUAUGUGAGGAGCAGGAGCUACAUUGCAUUUCCUCAUCUAGCAGCUAUCAUUUUAUUUCGGUCAUUGUUAUUUAUGUAAGACCUUAUGUUUGAACUGUCGUGCUGAAGUGGCGAAGUAGUUAAUAUAAUAUGUACUGCUAGUCUGCUAAUCGAACUUGAUCCAAU